GAAUGUCUUUUUACUUUUCCUGUCAGUAAAACACCUGCUUCUAAGCCUUCCAUUAAGGACAAAAAUAAAAAAAAUAAAAGAUUCAACCAUAUUCUAUUACAGUAAAACUGUAGGGUGUAGGGAGAUUGAUUUAGGCAAUAUGUGUUUACCCAAAUUGGAAUAUGCUUUGAAGUCUGAUGGUGAGUGACAUAUACUUCAAAGAGCUCUAAGAAUUUAUGGAAUAGAUUGGAAGCCUGAGAGUACCACAUGAACCCAGCAGCAUGGACAUAAUUCCAGAAAUCUGGAUGCUCAUGUCUGACACAAGUGAACAUAUGAAACACAACUAACACUGAUCCCUUUUUAUAGGAGAUGGGCCUGUGAUGUUUGGAACUAGUUACAUUUUGCAGUGUCAAGUAGUAGAGAGCAUGGGAAGAAGUGCGUCACUGGUCAGUUCAAGACUGACUGAUAAAUAGGAUGGAUCUUGCUAACUCCUUUGUAAUCUAUUUGCUACUUAGAGAAAUACCUUCUGCAGUGAAAUAUAUCUUCCUCAGAACAAUGUGGAAUCUAAUUACAUAAGAAAUAAAAUCAAAUCAAGAUACAGUAGAAGCUAUGUCCAGAUCAACAGAUAAAUGAAGAAAAAUUUGAUGAUGCAGAGAGAGGAAGAAAUGUAUCACAGCAUGAAGGAGGAAGAAGAGCAGUCAUCUCUGGUACCUUGGGUGAGAGCACAGGAAGAAAGCCAUGGUCUCGCCCUUUGCUUGAGAAUGUCUGAGCAAUGAUGAACUCCGUGACCUUGGGAUGUUACCUUACUCAGGUAUGUCACUCCUGUUUGCAAGCUCCUUUUGACAGAAGUGAGUCUACUGGGAACCUGUUCUUCCAGAUGCUCAGGAAGAGUCUUCUUAGUCUCUGGAAUUUAUGAAGUCAACACAAAGCAUAGCAUUUGUACUAUUUGCUGUUAAACCUGCUAAACAACUCUGAUACAACCAUCAGCAACAGUAUAGUAAGUGGUUCAGAGAAAGCAAUCUGAGGCCAUCCCCUCUUCACAGAGAGAAGCUGGAAUUCAUUGUAUUUUGUUCAGCAGAGAAAUCUGACUGUGUUGUCAGGGACUCUUUCAACACAGCUUAAUGACCUAUUUGGCACUUUUCAAAGAAAAGAAAAUUCUGCUGACACUUUUUCUAUCUAGUAAAAGCCAAGAAAAACAAGAUCUGCAGAGGUGGAAGUCCUUCAGAAAACACACCUGGCAACAGAGGCAACCAGGAAGAUAUCGUUGGAGCAUUCUGUUUGGAAGAGUAUCCAGGGACAGGAGUUUUCAGUGAAGGACUAUCAGCAACCACAGUAAUUGCCAGCUGAAAAUAAUCCAGCCAUUUCCAAGUAUAUCUUCUCAUUACCAUUCGAACAUGCCUCUCAAAUCUCCUCCAAAAGGGUCCUCAAUGUAGUUGUUUUGCCAAGCAUUUGCUUCUGUUGGAUCAAACUCCUUGCUAAUGUAGACUUAGUCAAAGACAACAAGACAUGUUUCACGCUGGCUCUGAAGUCUCUGAGCAGUAUUUGUUAGACCAUCACAAUACUGGCAUGCAGGCUUUUAGGGGAGGUUCCGGGGGUGAACUUUUGGUGUUGUGAACACAGUGACCUCCUAGAAAGUAUUUUGCACACCUAAGUGAGACAAGGAAUGGUAGAACCCUAAGACAGAAUGAUAUUUGCAAAGAAGGAGGCAGUGCAGCUGCUGGAAAAUGGAAGUUGAAAAGUAGCAUCGAAGGAAAUCUUUGUAAGCUAGUACAGUUUUCAAGUGUCCACGUAUCACCUCAAGUAAUCUCAUUCUCUUCAUAAAACAGGCAUUCCUGGACAGUUAAGAAACAUGUUUAAGCUUUAAGGACAAGAACAGAAACAUCAGAAACUAUUAAUUAGGUUAGGCAACUUUGGGAAAUCUGUAUAAUAAAAAUAACCAUAUUCAAUCAUGGAAGAAAUAAAGGUCUCUCAAUAGGAUCCCUGUGUUGGUAUAGUGUCAGCUACGAAAUAACAAUGUGACUCCUGGGAUUCAAUGGACAUACGCACUGUAAAGUGUCGUAGAAACUAAGCAGAUGCAGAACUGACUGAUCUUGAUAUAAUAAGGAUUAAUUAAAGUAAGGAAAAGAUUGGCUAUAGGGCUUCUGGGAAGAUAUGUUUAAAAUAUCCUAUCUUCUAAAAUGUAAUAGCUCAAAGUUGUCAUAACUGAAGGUGAGAAGACAACAUCAGAAGAUUGGAGUGAAAAACAAAGUAGCUUAUUUUUUUCAGUGGGUGCUGAAAAAAAGCUUAAAAUUUUGAAGGACAAUAAUAGUCUCAGAGCCAUACCUUACAUACCAGUAGAAAAGGCUUACUGUGCCUAAAAAGAGUUUACUGAAAUAUCAUUAAGUGACAUCAAAAAUUGUAAGAAUCUAAAUGCUUUAAUUUUUCCUCACACGUGUAUGGAUUUUAAUUCCUGCUGGGUCUUUCACAGUAUUAUUACAUUGCUGCCUGCAGGAGUAUAGCAAGUCAGUCAUUAGAUAUCAGAUACUAAAUAAAGGCUUUGUUAUGUAGGGCACAAAAUACAUGAUUGGCUUCCAAUCGUUUUCAAGCUCAAUUUUUCCAUAAUUCCUCUGUUUGUACUGAGGAAUCAGAAGCCACCUUUCAAGCCACUUGAGGUGAAAUGCGGGCCUUGCAUGGCAUGACUCUUCCAUGUUAAGUCAAAAUGCUUCAUUGAUGUUCUUUUCCAAAUUCUAUUCCUUGCUUCUCACAGUACUUUCUAAGAGUAAAAUCUCAAUCACCUCUGUCCUAGCAUUUUCUCUGGAAUCUAUCAAAUAUAGAAAUUACUGUCAAUGUUAGUAUUUUCUGUUUUUCUUUCAAAUUCACACAUUGCUUCAAAUAUGUAUUUUUAAGAUACACGGUAACUUCUAUUUUGACAAAAUACGCAUCCCCUCGCCAAAGUCUUACCCAAUAACACUUUCCUUCAGCAACACUUCUCUUCCUUGCUAUUGAAUAAUAAUUAACAGAAACACUAGAAGUCCAAGGUCAAAGUCAUCACCACAUUAUGACAGUUCAAGUUCUGUACAUCACCUUGAGAUGCCAUUUUUUGUAAAAAUACAGUGUGGAUUGAAAUUGUUGAUAUUCUCAUGGCCAUAUUGCUGUAAUAAUUCACAGGUUAUUUUUUAUCAGUUUUCCACCUUUCAGUUUCACUUAGUUUUAGUUCAAAAAGCCUUUGCUGUCUAUCUCAGAUGUUAUAUUUGCACUUUUACCAAUAAUCAUCACUUAUCAACUUUCAUGUUUCAGAUUACCAGAAUUUUCACUCCUACAGUUUCAGUUCUUCAGGCCAUAUCAGUAGUCCUUCAUCAAUAGCAUUAGAGAGCUAUGUAUGAGAUCAGUUUUAUUUUGUUCUACCAGUCAUCUUUUUCACUUUAUCUUUCUAUUUACCAGGUUACAGCUGCCUGAGUCUAAUAAAUAUUCAUUUGAUUAUUUUCAAGUCAGUCACAUUUUGACCUGUUUAGGUCAAGAGACUUAAAGAGCACUCAUGAUUUUCAGACUGUGUGUUUGUGUGGACUUGUUUCCAAUGUUCUUUUAUCAUCACAAUUAUAUUCCUUUCAUAUUGACCCUUAUUCUAUUAAAUAGCCCUCCACCUUCCCUUAAGAGUUCUUUGUAUACUUAAUGACUGGAUUUUUUUUCUGUUUUCUGAUCCACAUAUGGAAGACAAAAAUUAAUUCCUUUGUUAGGGCACCAUUACAAUGAUCCUGUAAUAUCUUGGGAUAACUGUUCUGUUAUUGUUGGUAAAAACCUGACUUGGAUUUUGUUAGCACAAUGAUGACAGUUGAAAAAAACCAAAACAUUGUAAGUGACUGAUCACUCAUUAGACUUACUUGGCUGCACUUAUUUUUCUUAAUCAUUGAAAAUUCAGUUGUCAAAUAUGUAUAAAUAACUUUUUUCCCCUACCAUAAUUUCUGUCGAUUCAGAAGGGAUCAGAAAAGGUUUCCUUGCUACAUGACAGAUAACUCCAUUCUCUAAUAGUCUGUUCUCUGCAGCUGUUCUUUCACUGCUGUACUGUUCUUUUUCUUCCACUAUUAUUGCAUUACAUUUUUUCUCUGACUAAUAAUCCUGUGGGAUAGAUCCUGCUCACACUCCUCUUCCAUACAGCCUACAAAUUAAAGAUGCAAGAAGCAAUUUCUACAAACGUGGAAUGUUAGAUAUUGUGGUAACAGGGAAUUUAAAAGUAACUGAGGUUUUUUUUGUUCACAUCAAUCCACUUAAUUAAACUAAAAAGAUGAAAAGAGUAAAGAAAAGCAAGAGACAGCAGUGGGUAAAGAUACGAAGUAUAUCAGAACAAAACAAAGGAAAGCCAUACUCAGAAGUGGCAAUGCUUUUCUCAAAAACACUGACUACAUUAAGUGCUUCUCUCUGCUCUGGUAGUGGUGGCCAAUUUAAUCCUGUGUAGCUGGAGAUAUUCAGGAAGUCUCCUACCGAUAUUAAUGACUAUUAACAAAAAUACUUGCUCAGACAGGCUUUAAAAGAUUAAAUAUAAAAUUUGAACUUAGCCUUUCAGCAGAUGAUGUCGCAUCUCUGCAUAAAUACUUGAUUUGAUGGCCCAUAGGUGUUUGCUUACAACUGUAUAUUCUAAGCAGGUAAAAACAUUUGUACGUGCUUGGCUUAAAAUGUUUCAUGUUUAAUAAUCUAGUUUAGGCCACACAACAAAUCAGUGACAGUAAGCAGCUGGCAUUCAACAGCGUUAUUGGUUUCAAAACUCCCACUGACUUAGUAGAUGUGAUAUGGCCAGUCUUCCCAAUAAUCCAGACAAUACUGCUGUGGAUCAAGGAACAUUUUAUGCCACUAAUUCCAAUUAGUGAAUAGGGAAUAGAAAAUCCAUAUCCUAUGACUUGUUACUGAGUACAGAACUGCAGCAGUGUUCUCAUCAGAAAGAAUAUAAGGAAAACAAACAACAGGUCUUCCUUUAUGCAGAUUUUGAUCAGGAAUUUGUGGUAAGAAUUUGCUUGUACCAAAUCAUGUGCUGCACAUGUAAGGACUCGAUGGUUUAAAAUGCCUCUGUCUUUAAUGUUUUGUUUCUGCAUUUGCAAUGUGAGAUUUUACUUUGAAUAAAGUAAUAAAUUUUAGAUUGAUUCAAAGUUUCAAAUUGUUCUUCAUACUUAGAUUACAGUUUAAUCAAAGUGACUAUUUCAAUAUUGCCAUGUUGUACAAAUGAAACAACUGAAAUUAUAUUUUUGUUUUGAUGUGCAUUGUUAAUAGAUAAGAAAGAAAAAGAAGGAUUUUUUCUACAGCCUAGUUUGCCCUGGAGUCCCAAAUGUAAUUUUGGGUUAGUCUAUUGGUUACCUGAAGGUCUCUAUACCUGUCUACACAUGCAUUUUUUAUUAGUUUAGCUGCCAUUAUAAUAAGGUUUCCUGCACAAAUCUCCCAACUCUGAUGGUAUCAAUUUAUUUCUAGAGUAUUCUAUUCUAAUGAGCACCUUAACACAAGGCAAAUGUCCUUGCUUCCCAAUAGGAAGGGAACUGGAUGUUUUCAGUAUAAUAGAGUUGGAAAGGGAAAGUAGACUGAUGUUAGUGCACCUGCACAGAAAAGAUAAAAAAUUGUGUGAAUAACUUGGAUGCGUGUGCUAAUUCUUGAUGUAUAAAUGUUAAUUAAAGAUUUGCUGGAAAUGAAAAAUUUGACUCUGCAACAUUUUUUACUCUCCAAAUAUGCAGCAUUCAUUUCCUGAAUUAUCUUUCUGGCUGGCAGGCAAGAUACAGAUUGCUUGUCUGCUACUAACAGCAGGCAUCUGAAAAUAUCCCAACAGCCUACUGAUUUAUGACUUCAGAGUGAGUCACAGAGGUUACUGGGCAUCUCUCAGACCUUGACAGCGAAAGGGAGAGGUGCACGACUUCCACUUCGAGAACUUUCUCCACCCUUUAUUAUGUGAGAAAAUGAAGUCCUGGCUCAGGGACUGCCUCAGAUCUGUAACUGAAAUUCUAAGCUCUUUCACAGAAACCAACAGGUUUCUAAAACAGCAGUGGCUCUCUAGAAGGUUGUCUGAGGAAAUGUCUUACUGGCAAAGAAGGAUGGAUAGUUUAUCCGGACCCAACACAGACACUGUGAAGGCUGACAGUGACAGCAAGAGGCUCAGGAACUCCUACCUUCAGAUGACAUGGAAAGGCACAAAUAGAUCACCAUCCAACUGAUACAGAGAUAAUGUAAAUGAAGAUGUUCUCUCCAUCAUGUACUAAAAUAAUAUAGCUUUCUGAGAGGAGCAAGGACUGAAAAAUUGCAAAACAGCACAGCAAAACAGCUCUUUUUAG
This 6257-nucleotide long non-coding RNA is filed under the name Gallus gallus (chicken). The record is from RNAcentral. Lineage: Eukaryota; Metazoa; Chordata; Aves; Galliformes; Phasianidae.